Long non-coding RNA from Sinocyclocheilus rhinocerous, 335 nucleotides. RefSeq lists it as uncharacterized. Lineage: Eukaryota; Metazoa; Chordata; Actinopteri; Cypriniformes; Cyprinidae. The record is from RefSeq and is a predicted model, not a curated record. The transcript has 3 exons.
AGCUUUUGUGGUGGAGCAGGACCUGCAAGGAAAGGAUCUGAAAUGUCUGCAGACUGGUGUGUGCAGUGAGGAUGGAGGAGUCCACAGCAGUAUCCUGGGAAUGGUCCAGUGCCGCGGAUGAGACGCUCCAUCACUCCUCCUCUUACGGUCUCAUCUGGACCAGAUGCUGCUGUGGUCUCUUCAUCCUCAGUGACCCCAGAGCCAGCGAGAGCAUCUAGAGAAAGACCAAAAGACACUGAGGAAGAAAAAAAAUAAAUACCCCAAGGAUUGAACAGUGUGGAGGCGAGUAAAUAAUGACUGAAUUUAUAUGUUUGGGUGAACUAACCCUUUAAACC